AAGAGUGAUUGUGUCUGGAAUGUGGGAUGCAGGGGCAGGCAGCCUGGCUCCUGCAGACCCCCUCUCCUCCUUGCCUCUGGCUGGUUCAUACAUCAGAUGCUUCCCACCAUCCAGGGGAACUGAGCCCAUCCAUGUGUGAUUAAUACAUUGAACUUCCCUGCUGCCCAGAGAGACACCAGAAUCAGGAUCCCAGGAUGAGUCUAAGUGAUAAGAAUACACUCAACCAAAUGCUAUAUCAACCAUAUCAACAGCAAAAUGAUGACACAUCACCAGAUUGACUGAAUUGGCAAGAAGUCUCAGUGCCAUUGAGAGAUCUUGGUAAGUGAGUGUUCUUAUAACAAAAAGUCCCAAUGGACUCUCUGUUCUUCACUCCCC
This 375-nucleotide long non-coding RNA is filed under the name Monodelphis domestica (gray short-tailed opossum). RNAcentral describes it as "lncRNA (ENSMODG00000043491.1)". The record is from RNAcentral. Lineage: Eukaryota; Metazoa; Chordata; Mammalia; Didelphimorphia; Didelphidae.